Molecule: long non-coding RNA, 334 nt
Organism: Tripterygium wilfordii
Lineage: Eukaryota; Viridiplantae; Streptophyta; Magnoliopsida; Celastrales; Celastraceae
Exons: 2
Source: RefSeq, a predicted model, not a curated record
UUUUGCAAGGAAACUUGGAUGGUCAAAGCUAAAGUUGGAUUUCAUGUGUUACUUGGUUCGGGAAAUUGGACUUGAAGUGUAAGUCAUGCGGUCAAGAACUAGAUUUUCAAGGGUAAGUGGAAUUGAAUCUCUAUUUCAAUUAAGAUGGCGUUUGUGCUUGUAAGUGAGAUAAGGACUUAUUGUAGUUCUAUAUACUGUUGGCAUUGAGUUGUUAAAUACUAUAUCGUUUUAUUAUAUGCUUGGAUAUCGGCACUGGGUGUGCUGUCUGAUAUCGGCACUGUGGGUGCUGUCUGAUAUUCUGAUUGAUUUUGUAUGAUUGUACCUCCUUCUGAUA